UACGUAGGGGGCUAGCGUUGUCCGGAUUUAUUGGGCGUAAAGAGCGCGUAGGCGGCCGAGUAAGUCCGACGUGAAAUCUGGAGGCUCAACCUCCAGCGGUCGUUGGAAACUACUCGGCUAGAGUCCGGAAGAGGAGAGUGGAAUUCCUGGUGUAGCGGUGAAAUGCGCAGAUAUCAGGAAGAACACCGAUGGCGAAAGCAGCUCUCUGGGACGGUACUGACGCUGAGACGCGAAAGCGUGGGGAGCGAACAGG
Molecule: ribosomal RNA, 253 nt
Filed under: uncultured bacterium
Lineage: Bacteria
Description: partial 16S ribosomal RNA
Rfam family: Bacterial small subunit ribosomal RNA
Source: RNAcentral